AGUGAACGCUGGCGGUAGGCCUAACACAUGCAAGUCGAACGGCAGCACAGUAAGAGCUUGCUCUUACGGGUGGCGAGUGGCGGACGGGUGAGGAAUACAUCGGAAUCUACUUUUUCGUGGGGGAUAACGUAGGGAAACUUACGCUAAUACCGCAUACGACCUACGGGUGAAAGCAGGGGAUCUUCGGACCUUGCGCGAUUGAAUGAGCCGAUGUCGGAUUAGCUAGUUGGCGGGGUAAAGGCCCACCAAGGCGAUGAUCCGUAGCUGGUCUGAGAGGAUGAUCAGCCACACUGGAACUGAGACACGGUCCAGACCCCUACGGGAGGCAGCAGUGGGGAAUAUUGGACAAUGGGCGCAAGCCUGAUCCAGCCAUACCGCGUGGGUGAAGAAGGCCUUCGGGUUGUAAAGCCCUUUUGUUGGGAAAGAAAAGCAGCAGGUUAAUACCCCGCUGUUCUGACGGUACCCAAAGAAUAAGCACCGGCUAACUUCGUG
RNAcentral lists this ribosomal RNA (492 nucleotides) under uncultured bacterium. RNAcentral's name for it is "partial 16S ribosomal RNA". It matches the Rfam family "Bacterial small subunit ribosomal RNA", at positions 29 to 507 of the family's 1533-position model. The record is from RNAcentral.